This 45-nucleotide unclassified non-coding RNA is filed under the name Trypanosoma brucei. RNAcentral's name for it is "gA6[257]". Lineage: Eukaryota; Euglenozoa; Kinetoplastea; Trypanosomatida; Trypanosomatidae. The record is from RNAcentral.
UAUAUCAUACACGAUAAUGCAUAUGUAGUAACUGAUGUGAUUAAU